GCACUGCUCAGUAACACGUGGACAACCUGCCCUGAGGACUGGAAUAAUCCCGGGAAACUGGGGGUAAUUCCAGAUAUGUCAGAACUCCUGGAAUGGGUUCUGGCAGAAAGGCUCCGGCGCCUCAGGAUGGGUCUGCGGCCUAUCAGGGUAGUAGUGGGUGUAACGUACCUACUAGCCUACGACGGGUACGGGUUGUGAGAGCAAGAGCCCGGAGAUGGAUUCUGAGACAUGAAUCCAGGCCCUACGGGGUGCAGCAGGCGCGAAAACUUUACAAUGCGGGCAACCGCGAUAAGGGGACCUCGAGUGCUGGGUUACAAACCUGGCUGUUGGGCUGCCUAAAAAGCAGUCUAUAGCAAGGGCCGGGCAAGACCGGUGCCAGCCGCCGCGGUAACACCGGCGGCUCGAGUGGUAACCGCUAUUAUUGGGUCUAAAGGGUCUGUAGCCGGCCGACUAAGUCUCUUGGGAAAUCUGGCAUCUCAAGUGUCAGGCUGCCAGGGGAUACUGGUCGGCUUGGGACCGGGAGAGGUGAGAGGUACCUCGGGGGUAGGGGUGAAAUCUUGUAAUCCUCGAGGGACCACCAGUGGCGAAGGCGUCUCACCA
RNAcentral lists this ribosomal RNA (600 nucleotides) under uncultured archaeon. Its description in RNAcentral is "bacterial SSU rRNA". It matches the Rfam family "Archaeal small subunit ribosomal RNA", at positions 83 to 682 of the family's 1478-position model. The record is from RNAcentral.